Molecule: ribosomal RNA, 463 nt
Filed under: uncultured bacterium
Lineage: Bacteria
Description: SSU rRNA
Rfam family: Bacterial small subunit ribosomal RNA
Source: RNAcentral
AGGAUUAACGCUGGCGGCGUGCCUAACACAUGCAAGUCGAACGAGGUAGCAAUACCUAGUGGCAGACGGGUGAGUAACGCGUGGUCAACCUACCGUUGAGUGGGGGAUAACUAGCCGAAAGGUUAGCUAAUACCGCAUACGUCUCCGAGGGGCAUCCCUUGGCGAUAAAAGGAGCAAUCCGCUCGAUGACGGGACCGCGUCCCAUUAGCUAGAUGGUGGGUAACGGCCUACCAUGGCACCGAUGGGUAGCUGGUUUGAGAGAGCGACCAGCCACACUGGGACUGAGAAACGGCCCAGACUCCUACGGGAGGCAGCAGUGAGGAAUUUUCCGCAAUGGGCGCAAGCCUGACGGAGCGACGUCGCGUGUGGGAAGAAGGCCUUCGGGUCGUAAACCACUGUCGAAGGGGACGAUAAUGACGGUACCCUUGGAGGAAGCCCCGGCUAACUACGCGCCAGCAGCCGC